UACAGAGGUCCCAAGCGUUGUUCGGAUUUAUUGGGCGUAAAGGGUGCGUAGGCGGCGCGGUAAGUCGGGUGUGAAAUCUCGGGGCUUAACUCCGAAACUGCAUUCGAUACUGCCGUGCUUGAGGACUGGAGAGGAGACUGGAAUUUACGGUGUAGCGGUGAAAUGCGUAGAUAUCGGGAGGAACACCAGCGGCGAAGGCGGCCAUCUGGACAGAUAUUGACGCUGAUGUGCGAAAGCGUGGGGAGCAAACAGG
RNAcentral lists this ribosomal RNA (253 nucleotides) under uncultured bacterium. Its description in RNAcentral is "partial 16S ribosomal RNA". It matches the Rfam family "Bacterial small subunit ribosomal RNA", at positions 524 to 776 of the family's 1533-position model. The record is from RNAcentral.